RNAcentral lists this long non-coding RNA (637 nucleotides) under Mus spicilegus (steppe mouse). Its description in RNAcentral is "lncRNA (ENSMSIG00000013718.1)". Lineage: Eukaryota; Metazoa; Chordata; Mammalia; Rodentia; Muridae. The record is from RNAcentral.
AACAAAUCAAGCUCCUUUGGUUAAACCGUUUAGGAGCUCAUUGAUCUCUUCGCGUUCUGAGGAAUCUCACUUGAGGUCCCAGGCUUCUAGGAUGACACACAGAAUGAGCGUGUUCUCAAACAUGAGGACCGGAACUCUGGAUCUGCCGAUGUUUCCUUGAAGUGGAUGUCACUCACAGGAGCAACUUUGAUGAAAUGCACAGCACUGCAUCCAGGAGAGGGACUGUCCUUGAAGCCCACAGAACAGACUUCUGGCUCCCAUUUGAUCGCAAUUUUUACGGAACUUAGAUCAGCUUUGUCAGGAAAUGGAGAGACUGUCACUUUGAUCAGAGCGUGGGGUAACACCUCCCUGCCCAGGCCUUUAGGACUGUUGAGUGAGAAGUGUUUAGAAAAUCAAGCAAGAGGAAGAAAAUGGCUGAGUACUACAUAGCAGACAUCGUAUUAACCAUCAGCACGAUCAAUCUCCUUUCCAUGUUAUUGGGACUGUAGGGAAUUUUUUUACAUGGCAGGAAUGAGGAAAUCAACUCAACAAAAUUUUGCUUCACACUUUAAUAACGGCAGCAUGGGAAGCACCAAUUUAGCUACUUAUUGCGGACUUUUGUCAUCCUGAGCAAUAAACUGCGGUCUUUUCAGAGACA